ACCCUCCGGUUCCCUUUCCCAUCAUAUCUGAACACGGGCCUUGGUGGUCAUAAAAGGAGGGAAAGUAAUACUGACGCUGGCCUCACAGCUCUUUAGCAUGUGGACUAGUUUGAAACAAGG
Small nucleolar RNA from Phyllostomus hastatus (greater spear-nosed bat), 120 nucleotides. RefSeq annotates it as small nucleolar RNA SNORA61. The transcript has a single exon. NCBI's taxonomy places the organism in Eukaryota, Metazoa, Chordata, Mammalia, Chiroptera, Phyllostomidae. The record is from RefSeq and is a predicted model, not a curated record.